RNAcentral lists this ribosomal RNA (572 nucleotides) under Fusarium solani. Its description in RNAcentral is "eukaryotic LSU rRNA". The stretch from base 185 to 338 matches the Rfam family "5.8S ribosomal RNA". Lineage: Eukaryota; Fungi; Ascomycota; Sordariomycetes; Hypocreales; Nectriaceae. The record is from RNAcentral.
GNNCNNNGNNNGGUGACCAGCGGAGGGAUCAUUACCGAGUUAUACAACUCAUCAACCCUGUGAACAUACCUAAAACGUUGCUUCGGCGGGAACAGACGGCCCUGUAACAACGGGCCGCCCCCGCCAGAGGACCCCUAACUCUGUUUUUAUAAUGUUUUUCUGAGUAAACAAGCAAAUAAAUUAAAACUUUCAACAACGGAUCUCUUGGCUCUGGCAUCGAUGAAGAACGCAGCGAAAUGCGAUAAGUAAUGUGAAUUGCAGAAUUCAGUGAAUCAUCGAAUCUUUGAACGCACAUUGCGCCCGCCAGUAUUCUGGCGGGCAUGCCUGUUCGAGCGUCAUUACAACCCUCAGGCCCCCGGGCCUGGCGUUGGGGAUCGGCGGAAGCCCCCUGUGGGCACACGCCGUCCCUCAAAUACAGUGGCGGUCCCGCCGCAGCUUCCAUUGCGUAGUAGCUAACACCUCGCAACUGGAGAGCGGCGCGGCCAUGCCGUAAAACACCCAACUUCUGAAUGUUGACCUCGAAUCAGGUAGGAAUACCCGCUGAACUUAAGCAUAUCAAUAANNCGGAGGAA